RNAcentral lists this long non-coding RNA (2374 nucleotides) under Sus scrofa (pig). RNAcentral describes it as "lncRNA (ENSSSCG00065000375.1)". The record is from RNAcentral. Lineage: Eukaryota; Metazoa; Chordata; Mammalia; Artiodactyla; Suidae.
GGGAGCGCUGGGUGCGCCCGUGCUGCGCGCUGCUGAAACUCCAGGCUGAGCGGCAGCCCUGACGCAACGAGUUAGCAAAGUCCGUCAGCUGGUUUCUGUGACAGUUCGCAUCUUUGGCUCCGAACGAAAUCCUUUGGAUAAAGAGCCCUAAGAAGUGACCUAUCCUUGGCCUUCCAACAUGUUGCUUCCAGAAUAGCAACCUAUCAGGACCCUGGAGAGAAGCCACAGCAAAUGGCUGUGUCCCUGGGAGAAGGAACACAAGCGGAGCCUCUUCGUCUCCUUGCGUUGAGGCGAUGGAGCCGAGAGUCUCAGAAGAGCCAGGCAGAUGCCAUUCAUUCCCUGGACAGACUCCUGAGGACAGCUGCACAGAGAGAGACCCAGAGAGCUGCAGAAGGGUCUCCAGCGGUCAUCACCUGGAAAGGUGCUUGUGCCACUUAGAAAGUCCAGCCCACAGAACUUCAUGGCAAGAAUAACUUAAAGAUCACCUCUCUUUCUCCGACGGUACCUGUAAGAAGCAGAUGGCUUACCUGUGCCUGAGCAUCACUCUGCCCUCAGUGUAUCAGGAGGUCUGACAGAGGUUUGAAAAAAAAAAGAAGAAGAAGAAGAAGACGAAGCCACACAGGGAGGAAAUGAACUGAGACAACAGCACUUCACAGUAACCGGAAGGGAAACACACUCUCACCGCUCUGAGCCUACGUGUGCGGUUGCUCGGUGGGCAAAUGCUCGGAGCUGCCUUUGAAAACUGGAGCACGAGAGCAGCACAGUCAUGAAGCAGGACUGGGCUGCCACCUCCCGCGGGCCUGCCUGGAGGGAGGGCAAGGACACCAGGGCCACCAGAUGAUCCCGCCGCGGUUCGGCCCGGGGUGAGUUCUCAGACACUUGCCGGGCCUGAGGGCGGGGCGGGGCGCACUCAGACUCUGCUUCCUGAGUCGGUGUCAGACAGCUGGCAGUGUCCCCACCACCGGCUGUGAACACCCUUAUGUGCAGCUGGGAGGGACGCAGCACGCCCCAGAGGAGGGAAGAGUGACUCCAGAUCCCUUCAAGUUGACUCGGAGGCAGUGGCUUCAAGGCGCCUCGAACCUCCCUGAUGCUGCUUCCCUGAUGCGUCUUCCUGGUAGCGCUUCCUGGUGUGUGACGCUGGCGGCUCCCCCCACUUCCUACCGCCUCAGAGAGCUUACCUGGAAGGCCCCAGCUUUUCUUUUCCUGAAUUGUUUCAGCACUUCAGAGUGUGGGCUGCCACUUAGAGUUUGCGGUGGAGUAGAGUCAUUUAAAAUGCCCUUUUCAGCCUCCCUGGGAAGGAGGGAGUGACUGAGGGGCAAGAAAGGGGGGCUGAGAGCAGGAUUCUGUGUGUGUGUGUGUGUGUGUGUGUGUGUGUAGUGCAGGCUCUGCAGAGUGGCUCCUUGGUACCCCAAGGGUUGGGGACAGGUUAUCCUGCGUGGCCACACCAGGCCGGCCCAACAGCUCCAUCCUUACUUUUCUUUAUGUUUAUUAGUUCAUUUGGUUUGUUCAUUCAUUCGGUUGCCUUUCUUCUGUAAAGGACUUGAGGCAACCUUUUUAUCUUGCUGAAGUAGCUUCAAAAUGAAGAGACAUUUCAAAAGGGGGAAAAAAAGGGGGGGAAAGCCCAUCGAAAAGGGUUCGACACUGUCCAGAGCUGCCUGGAGAUGGGUGAGCGGUCUAGUCCCCAUGCUAGAGACAAGAGGGGAGGGCGGCGGCUCCGGGCUUUUCCCCUCCUGCCUGGAGAGCCCGUCUUUCCCCCAGAAGCUGGUUUCCCACCCAGAGGUGGGUGUGAAGAACACUCCUCAUGACAGAACCCUGGGAACCAGCCAAGCGGUUUUCCUCCCUGUUUCUGUUUCCUCCCAAGUUUGUUUAUUUUCAAGGAUGUUCCUGUUCUAAGAAUGGAGCAGGGGGAGCCAUGCAAAGGGCAGGAUGUGAAAUCAGUUUCAUGGUAGAGACCCACUGUUAUUCCUUAAUUAGUUCAUUAAAUUAUUGAAAAAUUAUCUAGUGGGUAUUCACGGUGUGGCAGCCACUUUUUUUUUUUUUUGCUUUUUAGGGCCGCACCUGCUGUAUAUGGAGAUUCCCAGGCUAGGAGUUGAAUUGAAGCUGUAGCCGCCGGCCUACGCCAGACCCACAGCAAUGUGGGAUCCCAGCCACGUCUGGGACCUACACCACAGCUCGCGGCAAUGCCGGAGCCGUAACCCACUGAGUGAAGCCACGGAUUGAACCCAAGUCUUCAUGGACACUAGUCGGGUUCAUUAACCACUGAGCCACAAUGGGAACUCCCUGGCGGCCACUUUUAAGUCAAAACUUAUGGAACCUCCAUAUGCCACAGGAGUGGCCCAAGAAAUAGCAAAAAGACCAAAAAAAAAAAAAAAAA